UUCUUUCUAUUAAUAAUAGCCCAACAUGGGGCUGGCUGAGCAAAAAAAAUGAUGAGACUUUUUAAUCAACUGAAAAGACUUUUUUUCCCCCCGUCAGAUCGUUCAUGGUGAGACGAAAAGAGAGAGAUAAUCUAUAUGCACUAUUGAUCCCCAAUUUACUUUCGGGUUUCUUCCCUUCUGCCGGAGUUUCUAGUUGUGUUUUCCGCACUGUGUGAAUCUUUUUGCCGCGCAAAAACUGGGUCGCCAUGGGUAAAUCAAUCCGAGCUUCGUGGUUCCAGGUUCAGAACAGUGGUCUCUGUCCAAGACACAACUGCAAACACAACUUUAACACGUUUCAACAAGGAAGCGGAGCAGCUUGUCAGUGUGCCCUUAGCAAAAAAUUUGGAGUUAUGCAGGUUCAGGACAGUGGUCUCUGUCCAAGACACAACUGCAAACACAACUUCAACACUUUUCAACAAGGAAGCGGAGCAGCUUGUCAGUGUGCCCUCAGCAAAAAAUUUGGAGUUGGGGCAGGAUGGAGACAUGUCCAAGAUUCCAGUAACCGUGAAUAACAUCAUUAGAAAGGUUUAUGUCUUUUAAAUUAAGGUCACACCAUACAACACGUCACAAGGAUGUGAGUAAUACAUCGUCACAAGAGUCUUAGAAGACGCAACUACAGAGGUUUCAAAAUUAGGCGCGUGCACAGAUGCAGAGACUUCAAAAAUAGAAGCACACACAGAUGUAGAGCCGUCAAAAACAACCACACAACCAACAAAUGCAACAGGAGUCCAGACUUUGAAAACUUGAAUAAUAGGACGAAAAUUGCUUGACGAUCAGAACUUCAAGGCUAUUAGAAGUACGCUUGCCAUUAGAUAAUAGUAAUAAAUAAUGCAUGAAAAAUGUGAAAGACAAAAGGUGACAUGUCUUUCAGUAAAUUGAGAAAUUAAAAUUAAAUUCUCAACACUCAUAUUUCAUCUUUGUUUCACCUCCGGGCAAGCAUGACAGAGGUAGACCAAAGAAAUUUUCGUAUUGUAAACGUAGUUGCAUUACCUGAUCAUUGAAGCUCAAAUUAUGUAUAUUCAACUUGAUUAGAGUUAACA
Molecule: long non-coding RNA, 1079 nt
Organism: Daucus carota subsp. sativus
Lineage: Eukaryota; Viridiplantae; Streptophyta; Magnoliopsida; Apiales; Apiaceae
Exons: 3
Source: RefSeq, a predicted model, not a curated record